Triplophysa rosa is the source of this 1145-nucleotide long non-coding RNA. RefSeq lists it as uncharacterized. The record is from RefSeq and is a predicted model, not a curated record. NCBI's taxonomy places the organism in Eukaryota, Metazoa, Chordata, Actinopteri, Cypriniformes, Nemacheilidae. The transcript has 2 exons.
CAACCAAUUGGCAGGUCCUCUAAACGUCUCUCAUUCCAGUUGGGAUGUUUAAGAACCACGAAUGUUGCGCCCCGCUGCAGCUGCUGCAAAAGCUUUCGUAAGUUUUGGGAGGAAUGUCACGUAAUGGCAAUCGAUUUAAAGUAUAAAAAUGGUUUGGGAUUGAGGACGGAUGUCUCGCGCUGUCUCGUUCGUUGUUGUUUUAAUAUUUCAGCCAAAUAGAGGGGCUGUCUCUUUAUUCUGACCUUGUGCGGUGGUCUGUGUUAGUUAGCCGCAGAUGAGAAAAAUUUACAUUAAUGACAGACACGUCACUUUCAGUAACUCUUCCUUGGUUUUUUAUGCUUUCACAGAUGCUUGGCCAGGCAGAGAGAGAGAGACAGAGAGAAGACGCCACACUGAUGGCAUCAAACGCACUCAUGCUGAUACGUCCGUUGUGCGCUUUUCCCAGGAAAGGAGAACUCUAAGGUGUCUGAAAUCCACAUUCAUAUUUUCUCUAUUAACCUCCCCCUUCACGCUAACACACACACAGAUCCCUGAAGUCAUCUGUCCUGUGAAUCAGCUUUCUGUUUGGAAUCUGCGUUGUUUGGGUGUGUAUGAGCGGGAAAGCGCGUGGAAGUACGCGCCAGUACCCGCCCCUCUGGCUGCAGCCGGCGUGUGACAUCAAGCAGUAAUGUAGCACUCUUCAGUUUGCCAAACUCAGGGCUUCAUCGCUGGAUCUCUCCUCUGGCUGGGAUGCCUCUCCCUGGGUCUAAUUGCUGGCUCCCUCCCCAGACGUCCAUGCCAAGCUCCGGGGCUAAUUGUUAGCAUUCCCCUCUGGCAGAGAGGCAUGGCUGCAUCUCACCAGCUAAAUUAUCACAGGUCUGCUUUGAUUGGUUCUGGACAUGAAGUCGAGCGAGGCUAACCUGCAGAGUGAAGCGAAAUGCUAACACACACAAGCGGCUCUAAAACCCUAGACAGACACCAUCACAUCCCAGCGAUGCAUCCCUUACACAACCUUACCUCUUCCAACACGUGACGUGCUGUUAAAGUGGAGCGGCGCUCUCAUCUACGCCGAUUCUCUGUGGGCGUCCGCUCGUGCAUUAGUCAUUGUGAGCGAGGUGCACAAACCGCGCAGCCUUUGUCGCUGUAACCUUGUCUCUUCUCUGUCC